This 498-nucleotide ribosomal RNA is filed under the name uncultured bacterium. RNAcentral's name for it is "partial 16S ribosomal RNA". It matches the Rfam family "Bacterial small subunit ribosomal RNA", at positions 30 to 523 of the family's 1533-position model. The record is from RNAcentral.
AUUGAACGCUGGCGGCAUGCCUUACACAUGCAAGUCGAACGGUAACAGGUCUUCGGAUGCUGACGAGUGGCGAACGGGUGAGUAAUACAUCGGAACGUGCCUAGUAGUGGGGGAUAACUACUCGAAAGAGUGGCUAAUACCGCAUGAGAUCUACGGAUGAAAGCAGGGGAUCGCAAGACCUUGUGCUAAUAGAGCGGCCGAUGGCAGAUUAGGUAGUUGGUGGGAUAAAAGCUUACCAAGCCGACGAUCUGUAGCUGGUCUGAGAGGACGAUCAGCCACACUGGGACUGAGACACGGCCCAGACUCCUACGGGAGGCAGCAGUGGGGAAUUUUGGACAAUGGGCGCAAGCCUGAUCCAGCAAUGCCGCGUGCAGGAUGAAGGCCUUCGGGUUGUAAACUGCUUUUGUACGGAACGGAAAGCCCCGGGUUAAUACCCUGGGGUCAUGACGGUACCGUAAGAAUAAGCACCGGCUAACUACGUGCCAGCCGCCGCAGUAA